This 274-nucleotide long non-coding RNA is filed under the name Homo sapiens (human). RNAcentral's name for it is "HSALNT0203754". Lineage: Eukaryota; Metazoa; Chordata; Mammalia; Primates; Hominidae. The record is from RNAcentral.
GUUCAUGGACCAGUGCCUAUCUACCUGGUUGGCUGAGAUUAAAAUGAGUAAUAGAUCCUCCUUGCCAUCAGGAUGGCUCCUAAUGCAUUUUUCAUUAAAUUGAACUCCCACUUGGGUCCUCUUUCUGAGGUUCAGACAGAGGGAAAUGAUUUACUUGCCUGUCUACUUCCUCUUCAUAUGUAACCUCUUCUCUGAAUGUGGUGAAACUUUAACGGCCAAGGAGUUGGAUGAUUAACAUUAACGGGAGUUGCCUGUGUUAAUCCCUUGUGCAUAA